This 1811-nucleotide long non-coding RNA is filed under the name Takifugu rubripes (torafugu). RNAcentral describes it as "lncRNA (ENSTRUG00000026848.1)". Lineage: Eukaryota; Metazoa; Chordata; Actinopteri; Tetraodontiformes; Tetraodontidae. The record is from RNAcentral.
GUUUUGUUCCUGCUUCUCUCUGUUCGGCUGCUGCUCGACCAGAAUCCGGAUAUUUAUGACCGAACUUCCACCCAUCACACCUUUCUACUGAUUUUUUUGGGGGGGUUCACAUUUGUGCUUCCACUCUGCUGAUGUUGCUGAAGCUGCUGCUGAAGGAAGAGUUCAGGCUUCACCAUCACCACCACACCACAGAAGAAAAGCUAGCAAACAGAACACUGAAAAAACAUAAGAAGAAGAACAAGAAGAAGAACGAGGAGGAGGAGGAGGAGGAGGAGGGGUUGCUGUUGAUUCUGCCUCCCUCUCUCCUCACCCUCUUCUGCAUCACCUCCUCCUUCCACCUCGGCUCCAUCGUCAGCAUACUGCCCUCCUUUUCCUGUACAGCAAAGACGCAGCCCGGACCACCAUCUUAGAGAAACGCUGGCACGAAAUGGAAGCGCGAGGAUCGACCAGCACAGGUGAUCGCUGAGGGCAGGAAACGACCCUGGACGUCUGCAGAUGUGGAUCAGCGAUGUCCACUUGUCCACACUGUCUGUGGACACAAAGCUAAAGACUUUGGAUGAACUGGUCCCAAAAUGGGCUCCUCCAGCUAGAUAGAGAAUGUGAUGUUGAGGCCUAGCCCACCUUUAGUUGGAUUUCUGUUUUGCUAUAGUUGCUAGGACCUGUGAAUGUGAGACCCACGACAGCAGUGAAUUACUCUGCACUGCGAUUGGACGGCUCCAUGUGUCAGCUGGCACAGUGGCGAAGGAGCGAGCUGUCGUCUUUAUACUCUAUGCAACCGAUUCAUCUUUCACUUUGUUUUCAUGAAAGUGGACACACACACUCACACACAAAUGCCAUUCUGUAUUUUUGAUGUGUGGGCUACCAGCUUAUAAAGAUUUCUUUGGGAAAAUAUUGUGUGCGUGCGUGUGUGUGUGUGUGUGUGUGUGUGUGUGUGUGUGUGUGUGUGUGUUGACUCAGUCAGAUUUGACCCUGCAGCUAAAGUGCGAGCAAACCUGUUGUCCCAUUCACGAUGACAACAGCGUGAACGUGCUAGAUCAGCAGGAAAUGGUAGAGCUGGGCCGCGGUGUGUGUUCACACACACACGUGCACUAUUCCAGCCUUCCCAGCAGGCUUUGAUCUUGUACCUGCACGGCUGCAACAAUACAUCUUUUGGGUGAGACAUGACAAAUACUCUGUCCUAAUUUCCUGUCCUCAGCUUUAACAACACACACACACACACGCACACACACACACACACACAGACUUAAUAAAUCAAGUAAUAUCAGGCUAAUUCAUUUUAUAUUAAUUUUUGGAAAGUGGCAAAUUUUUUUAUUACGACUGAUAAUCUAUGCAAAUCUUUUAAAUAUUACUUUAAACAAUCUGUGUCUGUGCAGCCCUUUUGCAAUUGAUUCAAGGGAGACUUAUCUUGGCCUAAUUUAGAAAAUGUAUUCUUUUGAUAAUCAUGCACAUCCCUGCGCUCGAGACAAUUACUUAUCUGCCUGGAUAAGCUUGAAAUUAUGUUUUUAAUCUUUUGGGGAGAAAAAAGUCUUUCCUCUGAUAUCAGUCCAGAUGCAUUGAAACCAUAAAUUGUGGUCUAAAAAAUUAAAUUGUUGCACUAAAUCUCUCUAUUUCUUUCUCUUCUUAAGUGCAGAUCAAAUAGAUCUGUUCUGCUGGAGCUUGGUGAAGAGUAUAGCUUCAUUAGAGAUGUUGACGUUACGUCAUGUGCAUUCACGUGUUCACCAGAUGUGCCUUUUUUAACGGAAUAAUGUGAUGACGCUAAUAAAGGUUGACACUGAAAACAAACCUGGAAAAAUGUUUUUUGUAAAAUUCAU